Molecule: long non-coding RNA, 6340 nt
Organism: Gallus gallus (chicken)
Lineage: Eukaryota; Metazoa; Chordata; Aves; Galliformes; Phasianidae
Source: Ensembl
GGGAUGUGGUUAUGGGCAUGGUAGAGAUGGGUCGUGUAUAGGAACUGCUGAGUCACGGCUUGAAUCACUGAUUGAGCACCUGGAGGAAAGACAUAGGCAGCCCUGGGAGCACAGGUGAAGGUAAUUCAGCUGUGCUACCAGAAGGGGUGGAGCCUGGCUCUACCCCUCUUAGACCUCAUUUAAGGGCUGAUGGCCCCUGAGGAAGGAUGUCUUGUUGGAGCUCUCUCCUUUGUGGAGUUUUUCUGUGAGCCUGGGUCUUUAGAGACAGCCCCAGCAGUGCACCUGUUCCUGGGGGCUGGAAGCAGUGUUGCUAUUAAUUGGCUGAAGUUGCCCUAUAAAACUUGAGCUUUAAGACUCAGAAACCUGAUAGCAGCUUGGAGUUCCCUUGGAAAUCACCAGAUGUGGCCCAAGAGCACCUAAAAGGAAGAGAGUCAAACUGCCUCCUUCUUUCCCCACUCUGGCUAUCUGUGACAUCCACAAAAUCCAGAUGAAUAUCUGACAGCUGCCUUGCACCCCAGCGAUCAGGAGGAAAUGGAGGAGAGGGGCUGUCCUAUGUUGGCCCUUUGCACAAAGAAGGUGGGACUAGACACUGCCACCAAGGUGUUGUAUCGUGAGGACCAGAAGCCUCUCGUUAUGGCAGCCCCAGGAUGCUACACCGAUGGCGGCCUGGUUUUACGACUUCUCCACUUUACCUCAUUAAAGGCAGAAGAGAGAGAGCUGCAGAACGUGCAGCUGGAUCGUAAACACCAGGAAGGAAGAAAACAAGUGCAUAAAAAAGAUGGGGCAUGGAGCAUAGGGAUUUUACUCUUCGAGCACUGUGAUAGCGCAUCCCAUCUACUACACUGUCUGGGCUCACUGCUGUUAACUCCAGGUACGUCACAGAAUCAUAGAAUGGCUUAGAUUGGAAAGGACCAAGCUCGUGCUGUGGGCUAGUUGCCACUCACCAGAUGAGGCUGCCCAGGGCCACAUCCAACCUGGCCUUGAACAGCCCCAGGGAUGGGGGAACACUGAUAUCUGUCUUUUCCCCAAGUUCUGCAUAUGGGAUCUAGGAAAGCCCCACGUCCUGAGUUUGAUGUUACUUCUGGAGUUUUUGUAGUAGUAUUUUUUUAUAGCUCUGAGACAGCACGGAUUCCUGUGGGUUUGAGAGCACCCUCUGCACCAUGCUGAUUUCUGGGAUAACCUGCAGGCAGAGCUCGGGUGAGCUGCCUACAGCCCUGCUUUGCAUCCUCUUCACUUCCCUUCUAACACAAACACUGCAGAGCAGGAAGAUACACGUACACACAGAUCAUCAGUUCCAAGGGAUUCCGUACCUGCUCUUGCCAGGAAUAUUCACUGCUACUUUAACCUUUCAAAAUUUCCUGCUUUACUGUGGGAAAUGACCACUUCACACAUUUCUCACAGGUUAACAGUGCUAUAAAGAGCUCAGCUGGUCAGCAGAGUCAGAAAACACUGAAAAGGUCAAAGCAUGCCAGUGCUACAGCGGUUUCCCUCUAAUUUAGAGCAGCCUGUGACCUUCACUUAACUCCUACUUUAAAUGAUUGCAAAUUAAGUUGGGCAACUUAACCUGAGCUUUAAAAAUCUAAAUGAAUUGAAAGAUGAAACUCUAUCAAGCAGCUUUCCAUCAAUGUCAGACAGUGUCCUCCAACACACGUACACCAGACAGACACUUCUGCCUGUGAGCCUUACUCACGCAGCUGAGAUAUAUUCAAAUAAAGCCCCAUUAACUCCCCCAGCACUAAAUGACAUCCAUGCAUUAGUACCACUGCAUAGUUGUCCUCGUGAACAAAGGCAUAUCCGACCGGAGCUCUUUUCUACAAGGUGUUUUUUAAUCUUCUUGGCUUAUGCAGGACUUACAGCUAUAAUAUAUGGUGUUUGCAUAGCAGUCAUAGCAAGGAUUUCAGCACUGUAAAUCCAUCACCUGCUUUCCAUCGUCUGCACACUGGCGCUCAUGCCAAAGCUUUCAACUCCAGCAGUACCCAACCUCCCGGGCUCUAGGGACCAGUUGCCCACCAGUGAUUAAAUGCAAUGAUGAAACAGAAGAAAGCUCUGUAGCAAAGCAUCAGAAUCUCAAAAGUCUCCAAGCUUCUCAGUCUCAUCCAUCAGGUGACAGCAGAGUAAACCUAGCUGUGGGGCACUGACUGGAAGAGAUGUGCUUGGAGGCCUUUGUGGGACCCUAAACUCUAAGCAAUCACUGGUACCCAGGAGCAGCAGAGCUGGAGGCUGCUGCCUAUGGCAAGGGAAUUGGAUCCCCCAAUGGCACCAUGAAUAUUUGUCCAUUAACACAAAGAGAGGAGUCCUGAACAAGGUGUGGGUUUGUACCUCAGCUCCUUCUUUUUAUAUUCUUUAAUGUGGCCUUUGUUUCCUUUUACUUCCUGCAUGCACACCUACCUGAUCCUUUGUUAUUGUACAGCAACUAAUGUGAACAAAAAACAUUUGCUGAGAAGCAAAACCAGGAGUUCCACUUUUUUUCCAGUGACAUAAAUCUAUAUCCCAAUAACUGUAGCUAAAGCAAAGACACGCGACACUCCUCCACAGAAACAUGCAGGAGAAUCGGAGAAUUGUGGAAUUGUUUGAGUUGGAAGGAUCCUUUAAAAGCCAUCUGGUCCAACUGCCCCUGCACUGAACAGGGACACCCACAGCUCAGAGCCCACCCAGUCUGACCUUGGCCGUCUCCAGGGAUGGGGCACCACCACCUCUCUGGGCAGCCUGUGUCAGAGCCUCCCUGGCCUUAACGUACAAAGCUUUUUUCCUUACAUCCAAUCUAAAUCUCCCCUCUUUCAGUUUAGGGGUAAUUAAACCAUAUCCCCUUGUCCUAUCACAACAGACCCUGCUAAAGAAUCUGUCCCCAUCUUUCUUACACCCCUCCCCACCCCUUUAGAUACUGAAAGGCUGCUAUCAGUUCUCCCCUGAACCUUCUUUACAUUCCACAAAACAAAUUCUUAAUUUCACCAAUAACCCCCUUUUUUCACCAAUUUCAUUGAUACUGAGGUAGGGCGGCAGUGCUGAGGAAACAAACUGUCCUGUGAGCAGCUUAGAAUUGCUCAGUGCCAUGGUCCAGAAAUGGCUGCUCGCUGCCUGAUUUACUGGCCAAGAGGAUACUCUACUUUCUGAAUUCCCAUGGAGAUGGCCUGAUUUCCAUAGCAACUGGAUUCUCUCUCUUGCCUUUCCCUUUAACAGGUAGAAACACACUUACGUCCUGAACAUGCUAGAUUGUUCUGAGUAUUUUUGUACUUUCAGAUGCUAGUGCACUUUCUGGACAACGUGUUGAAACACAGGCACCUUCAUUAUAUUUUUGUAUCCACCUUUUUGAACUGGCAGUGACAUUAUCUCCCAUCCCCUUCUCUUAAGAUUUGUUAUGAUGUGAGUACGAAGUAUUCUUUUUUGCUUUCUCUCUUCUCUUAGUCUUCAUUACCAUUCCAAUUUUCUGUCGGACAACCUGCAGUGCGGGGUGAUGGCUGUUGAAGAAAGCUCUUGGGGAAAAGAGGGUAUUGAUAAUAUCAACCAGCAGCAAUAUCCAAAGCCUGUGUGAUGUAUUUCUAGAGAGAGAGGUUGGUAGAAUCUCUGCUCCAAAGAUGGAUUAAAAAUGCAUGCUAUAAUUCAGCUUGUCAGACAGGAGCUCGUGUUGGCAGUAAGUAUAUACAUUUUUUGUCACCUGUUUGCCAUGUUUUCUAAUGGCUUCACAUUUUGAUUUUAUAUGCUAACGUGAAGUGUCCUCUUUUUAGCUCUGCCCUUCAAACACAUCUGCCCUGCUUUUCCUCUCUAGACUUCAGCUUGAAUAAGUACAAAGAACAAACAAAACCCACAAGGAGUUGGCUAACCGGGGAAUUUCUUACAGCCAUUGUAGAGGGAUUUGUAGGGAAUAAAAGAGAACAGACCCCACAGACCAUCUCCAUGAGGAUCUGCAGAGAACACGUACAGGACAAGAAGUCACUGAAACGGGCUUUUGGUUAACAUGGCAGUAAUGUGGCUCAUCAGUCUGGUUCAGGGAAGGGAGUGCUACAGACGCCAUGAGCCAUGUGUGGGAAUCUGAGUCUUAAUGGGCAGGGCUUGUACAUUGAUUUGGGUUUGUGAAAGACUGGAGAGCUGAAUCGCUCUGGAAGUCACCUGGAUUAUGUGCAGUGCCGUAGUGCCUGGAACAAUAACUGCUGUGUGGCAAUGUGUGACAGCACAGUCAAAGGGAGGGAAGCAGGAGGUGAUGAGUGCAGAUCUCGUGUUUGCUCAGAUGGCUGCAGUGAGUGGAGGGCAUUCCUGGCAAAUGGAGCCUUUUGGGGCCCCAAGGAUAAGGGCAAAAGGAGCAGAGAGGCUGAGCAGUGCUGUAGCAGAUGCACAUCCCCUUUAGCCACAAAUCACGCUGUCUGCACUGAGGAUGAAUGUCACAGAUAUGCCAUUCACUCAGCAAUGCAGCCCAUGCCCCACUGCCACCUCUACGUGAGCACACACUGCCCUGGCUCCCAUGAAUUGGCACUGAAAUAGAGCAGCCCAAGUUGCUAUGAGGGCAUCCUGAGGUCCUGACAGCACUUUGCCAAUUCACUGACCUCUAUUAUGUUCUGAAUCAUGGGAGGCUACACCCAAAAUCAGCCUAAAAAGUUGACUGAUUUCCCCAUAACCUCCAAUGUGACCUGCAGACCCUCACUCACCAUCAUACAAGGUUUUCCCCACCUCUCCACCAUGAAACCAUCCCUCCACCCUCCUCUCCCCCUUCCCAGUUAAUGCUGAGAGCCAGGAAAGAAAGCAUAGCAAAUUGAAAUAAAUGAGAGUGAGAGAAGGAAGGGGGAGGUGGGAGGGGGAAGCGAGGAACGAGCUGCCAGGUUCUGUCACUUCAGGGGUCCCGGGGGGAGCAGGGGGGUGGCAGCAAGGCCAAAGCCUGAUCCUCAGUGAUGUUGGGAGCUGUGUAGCCUGUGACCUUCAGAGCACUUAGCACUGAUGAGGAGCAUCUCAGUGAUCAGAGAGGGGCAGGAAGGGCACACAAGUGUGUGGGAGUGAUGUUGGUAGGGGGGCUGCCUCUUUAAGAUGGUGAGGACAAGGGGACUGGCACCAUCGCAGCUCUCUUGGAGCAUCCUGCUCCUCCCAACCCCACCCUGUGGGCUCCUCAGAGAGAUGCCAGCCAAGGGCCCAUAGAGGGCACUGAUUUGUCAACGAACCAGUGAGAAAUUACACAUUCAGGUAAAAAAAAAAGACAGGCAUGAAGGGCCCAGCAUCCUUCUGCAGCUCCUGUAGGCGGGUUAUUUCUGAGUUAAUGAUGGACUGCUUCUUUUUUUACUUCUCUGGUCUCACUCGGAAAUGCAAACAUCGUGGGGAGGUGGGAGAGGUGGCUUCCCCUUCCCAUUUGCUUGAGGAGCAGAUGGCCCCACAGCUGAUUUCUCCUUGCUUCCCUCUGUCAGUAAAAGAUACGUAACCUAGCUCUGAGAAUACCACUUCUUGGCAAACAUGUUCCUGAAAAAUAGAAGGGAAAUUCCCAGUACUGUGAUUUCAUGCUUCUCCAUCCUCCCUUUUUAGUUCUUUUAUUCUACUCACAGAGGCAAGGUGCACAGCUACAGCUGGGUUCAGUUACUCAGAAGCCACAGGCACUGCUCAGUCGAUGCAGGGCAUGGGGAAAGUCUAAGGGGAAGGCUGCAGACCCCUCACCAGGUCAGUAUCCCUUGGGGCAGCUCGGUGAUCAAAACCCAAACUCACCAUGGAUCCAUGGCAUGUUUGUGGAAUUGUGAAGAAGAAAGUCCCUCAUUGACCUCCCUUUCCUCUUCUUCCAGUUCCCAGCUCAUCCUGUUCCUCCUAUGCCAGAGAGGAGGCCCAUUAGCAGCAGCUCUGCUGCAGUGUCUCUUUAAAGGAAGUGUCAAGAAUAAAGAUGUACCUCCAGGUUUUGGAAGACAAUUAUUGCACGUUAAUUAAAUAUGAAAUGACACUUAAGAGCAUAUCCAUUGCCUUAACAGCGACUCUCUGUAAUAAUAAUAAUACUUAGCACUUACAUAGCUCUCUCCAUCUAUAUAGUGCUUUACAAACAUUAACUAAUGAAUCCUCACAACCUCUGUGUGAAGCUGAAGAGGCUGCUGACAUGAUGGGGAGGGGGGAACAGAGAUGUAUCAUGGGAAUAACCUCCUCUUGGCCUGCUUUCCAGGCUUCUAUGCUAUACAUUCUCUCUCCUUCCUGCAAGCCUUCCAUGAAUUGUGCUUCUCUCUGGCAUCAUGUAGCAGGCACAUUGCAUGGUGGACAUUGGCAGCUCAGUGAGGUGGUAUCAACAGUCACUGCUGCAGAAGGAGCUGAUGCCUCCCUAGAUUUGUCUGCAGCUGGAGCUUUUCGGAUGGGACCAUAGGAAAUACAGUUCUGGCUUUGGAUAUAAACAUCU